This 713-nucleotide long non-coding RNA is filed under the name Hordeum vulgare. RNAcentral's name for it is "long non-coding RNA (HVUL_LNC004595)". The record is from RNAcentral. Lineage: Eukaryota; Viridiplantae; Streptophyta; Magnoliopsida; Poales; Poaceae.
CCCAACAAAACUAUCAUGUCUUGUAAUCACCACAUGUAUCAACUUAACAUCGUGGACAUCACAUGAUAAACACGGGAUCAAAUCGAUCUUGGUAUUAACAAUACCGUAAUGAUUAUUACAUAACCACAAGGAGCUUGAUCUUUACCCGGAAUCAUCACAUGACAUCAUAAACCACAACCAACUUCGGUAUCCAUGAUACCACUUUGAUCCUCUCAUGAUUACAUAAAUAUCAACCAACUUCUUUCCUCAUCGAACACAAGUUGUUUAUUAAUCAAGUUAUUAUUACUGUUGACUCAUAGUGUGACCUACUACGAACUGGGCCCAUAUCCGCAGGCGCGGCUAUCGCUAGAUUAUACACACUCUUCAGAGGUUAGCACACUGUACCCACACUAUGGAACCCAAGGUUUCAUGCUCCCAUUCGGGUGGACCAGCGGCGUUCCGGCAAAACCGAUCUAUUGCAGGACACUCUCCCGGCCACUCCGACAAACUCCCCUUUGGUCUAAGUCAUGGGUGGCCCUGGAUGCCACUCUGGACAUCACCUGGCCACUAUUGUGGCAAAACAAAAAACGGUCCCAAACGGGGACAACGGUACCAUACAACAACAACAGGCACACAAGGCUUAUGGCUGCCUACCCGAUCAAGGUAGCGCGCCCACCUACCCUUCCCUGGUUGGAGGCACCGGUGAGAGGCAUGACAAUAGACUGCAUUAAGGC